GUGGGGAAUCUUGCGCAAUGCGCGAAAGCGUGACGCAGCAACACCGCGUGAGGGAAGACGGCCUUCGGGUUGUAAACCUCUUUCAGGAGGGACGAAGGUAGACCGGUGAAUAGCCGUGUCGACUGACGGUACCUCCAGAAGAAGCACCGGCUAACUACGUGCCAGCAGCCGCGGUAAUACGUAGGGUGCAAGCGUUGUCCGGAAUCAUUGGGCGUAAAGCGCGCGUAGGCGGCCCGAUAAGUCCGCUGUAAAAGUCAACGGCUCAACUGUUGAAAGCCGGUGGAUACUGUCGGGCUAGAGUACGGAAGAGGCAAGUGGAAUUCCUGGUGUAGCGGUGGAAUGCGCAGAUAUCAGGAGGAACACCUAUAGCGAAGGCAGCUUGCUGGGACGUUACUGACGCUAAGGCGCGAAAGCGUGGGGAGCGAACAGGAUUAGAAACCCUUGUAGUCC
RNAcentral lists this ribosomal RNA (450 nucleotides) under uncultured bacterium. RNAcentral describes it as "bacterial SSU rRNA". It matches the Rfam family "Bacterial small subunit ribosomal RNA", at positions 354 to 796 of the family's 1533-position model. The record is from RNAcentral.